RNAcentral lists this ribosomal RNA (468 nucleotides) under uncultured bacterium. RNAcentral describes it as "partial 16S ribosomal RNA". It matches the Rfam family "Bacterial small subunit ribosomal RNA", at positions 28 to 507 of the family's 1533-position model. The record is from RNAcentral.
GACGAACGCUGGCGGCGUGCUUAACACAUGCAAGUCGAACGGAAAGGCCCUGCUUUUGUGGGGUGCUCGAGUGGCGAACGGGUGAGUAACACGUGAGUAACCUGCCCUUGACUUUGGGAUAACUUCAGGAAACUGGGGCUAAUACCGGAUAGGAGCUCCUGCUGCAUGGUGGGGGUUGGAAAGUUUCGGUGGUUGGGGAUGGACGCGCGGCUUAUCAUCUUGUUGGUGGGGUAGUGGCUUACCAAGGCUUUGACGGGUAGCCGGCCUGAGAGGGUGACCGGCCACAUUGGGACUGAGAUACGGCCCAGAGUGCAACGGGAGGCAGCAGUGGAGAAUAUUGCACAAUGGGCGGACGCAUGAUGCAGCAACGCCGCGUGCGAGAUGACGGCUUGUGGGUUGUAAACCGCUUUCGCCUGUGACGAAGCGUGAGUGACGGUAAUGGGUAAAGAAGCACCGGCUAACUACGUG